RNAcentral lists this ribosomal RNA (449 nucleotides) under uncultured bacterium. RNAcentral describes it as "partial 16S ribosomal RNA". It matches the Rfam family "Bacterial small subunit ribosomal RNA", at positions 29 to 523 of the family's 1533-position model. The record is from RNAcentral.
AACGAACGCUGGCGGCCUGCCUAACACAUGCAAGUCGAACGAGAUCUUCGGGUCUAGUGGCGCACGGGUGCGUAACGCGUGGGAAUCUGCCCUUUGGUUCGGAAUAACAGUUGGAAAUGACUGCUAAUACCAGAUGAUGACGAAAGUCCAAAGAUUUAUCGCCAGAGGAUGAGCCCGCGUAGGAUUAGCUAGUUGGUGUGGUAAAGGCGCACCAAGGCGACGAUCCUUAGCUGGUCUGAGAGGAUGAUCAGCCACACUGGGACUGAGACACGGCCCAGACUCCUACGGGAGGCAGCAGUGGGGAAUAUUGGACAAUGGGCGAAAGCCUGAUCCAGCAAUGCCGCGUGAGUGAUGAAGGCCUUAGGGUUGUAAAGCUCUUUUACCCGGGAUGAUAAUGACAGUACCGGGAGAAUAAGCUCCGGCUAACUCCGUGCCAGCCGCCGCCGUAA